CGAAGUGCUCCCAGUGCUAUUCGGCCAUACAUUAUAGUUAUCCUUUUUACCCGCUUAGAAAAGCGCCACGUUUUAUUUUUUGUCACCAUACUUGGUCGUGUAACUUGUGUAACUGUAUUUAAAUAGAGAUACGUGGAGGUGUUUGGUUGCGUCUAACUUCAUCUCUGUCUGGUCCCUAAUGAAUGAACUGGGCCAAGUUAAGUGCUAUCAAAGUGUCUCCAUGCGCCAGAGCGAUUGAGACGAGAGAGGUGCGUAUCAACUCGUCUUAGUUAAGGGAAUAACAGAGUUUAAAUAUGAAAAAACGGUUGAGUGUUCCUUUAAUAAAGUAUGUAAAGGUUUGUAGGUAAGCUCUUCCUCCUUUCCUUAAGAGUUUACCAGCAACAGUCUGUCUGUAAUAACAUUGUUGACUUUCAUUUUGUUUAAUUUUUUUUUUUUUUUGUGUUCCAAUGAUGCUAAUUAUGUAAGUACUUUUUGCUGAGGAUUUAGGUCUGUACAUACAGAUUUUUUAUGCAUUUCUGCAAUGGGUGAAAUGGCUAAAUAAAAACUUAAACAAGUUUUAAAGAUUUGAUUUGAAAAUAAUGUAUAUUAUAAAUCUCUUUUUAUGUGAUCACAACCACAGGUUGAGGUAGCACAUGGCACGGGCAUAAAAAUCCUCAAGCAUCAAUGGACUUCUGCCCUGCAGGCCCAAACAGCCACUUCAAUGGUGCGUGUUCUUUUAAUGGCCGCCUUCCCACUAGAAGUUCUGAUCCACAGCAAUUUGAAAGGGGGAAAGAGUAAAACUGAUGGUAGUGCAGAGAGAAGACAUGCCCUUGACAAGGAAACCAUGGGAGCCAUAUUUGAAUUUAAUUGAAAACGCUGGCUCUGCGCCAGUGGACACCUGGCCGUCAUUAACAUAGGCAGUGGCAAAAUAUGCGGCAAUGGAGGGACAGAAAUCUCAAAUGUUAUCAAAAUAUCUUCAGUUAUGUUUAGAAGAUGAACGAGAGUCUUAACAGGGUUAGAACAACAUGAGCAUGAGUAAUGACAGAAUUUUCAUUUUUGGGUGCAUGAACUAACCCUAAAAUAUAUCAGUAAUUUUUUUUGUCUCUUACAGUGGCAGUCAAGAAGAGGUUUCCCAAUGUGUCCAGAGGAGCUUUGGGUAUUGCAGUGAAUUCCAAGCUGGGGGAACUGAGACUGCUUGAAAAAAAAAGGAGCUAAUUUUGUUAUUGUUUUUUUGUUGCUGUUUUUUAAUUUAUAGCAUGUUCCUUACUUGAUUUUUAUUCAGGGGUGUUAUAUGUACACAUUUUAGACAGAAAAUAAAGAUUUUAUUCAAAUGUUA
Carassius gibelio (silver crucian carp) is the source of this 1315-nucleotide long non-coding RNA. RefSeq lists it as uncharacterized. The record is from RefSeq and is a predicted model, not a curated record. NCBI's taxonomy places the organism in Eukaryota, Metazoa, Chordata, Actinopteri, Cypriniformes, Cyprinidae. The transcript is spliced from 3 exons.